GGAGAUCCACAAAGGUGAGAGAGAGACACCGGGAGAUCCACAAAGGUGAGAGAGAGACACCGGGAGAUCCACAAAGGUGAGAGAGAGACACCGGGAGAUCCACAAAGGUGAGAGAGAGACACCGGGAGAUCCACAAAGGUGAGAGAGAGACACCGGGAGAUCCACAAAGGUGAGAGAGAGACACCGGGAGAUCCACAAAGGUGAGAGAGAGACACCGGGAGAUCCACAAAGGUGAGAGAGACACCGGGAGAUCCACAAAGGUGAAAGAGAGACUCCAGGAGAUACACAAAGGUGAGAGAGAGACACCGGGAGAUCCACAAAGGUGUGAGAGCGAGAUGCCAGGAGAUACACAAAGGUGAGAGCGAGAGAUACAAGGGUGAGAGAGAGACACCGGGAGAUACAAGGGUGAGAGAGCGAUACAAAGGUGAGAGAGAUACACAAAGGUGAGAGAG
This is a long non-coding RNA of Oncorhynchus keta (chum salmon), 452 nucleotides long. RefSeq lists it as uncharacterized. The transcript is spliced from 3 exons. NCBI's taxonomy places the organism in Eukaryota, Metazoa, Chordata, Actinopteri, Salmoniformes, Salmonidae. The record is from RefSeq and is a predicted model, not a curated record.